RNAcentral lists this ribosomal RNA (254 nucleotides) under uncultured bacterium. RNAcentral describes it as "partial 16S ribosomal RNA". It matches the Rfam family "Bacterial small subunit ribosomal RNA", at positions 524 to 776 of the family's 1533-position model. The record is from RNAcentral.
UACGUAGGGCGCAAGCGUUUGUCCGGAAUUAUUGGGCGUAAAGAGCUCGUAGGCGGUUUGUUGCGUCUGCUGUGAAAACCCGAGGCUCAACCUCGGGCCUGCAGUGGGUACGGGCAAACUAGAGUGCGGUAGGGGAGAUUGGAAUUCCUGGUGUAGCGGUGGAAUGCGCAGAUAUCAGGAGGAACACCGAUGGCGAAGGCAGAUCUCUGGGCCGUAACUGACGCUGAGGAGCGAAAGCGUGGGGAGCGAACAGG